GACGAACGCUGGCGGCGUGCCUAAUACAUGCAAGUAGAACGCACAGUUUAUACCGUAGCUUGCUACACCAUAGACUGUGAGUUGCGAACGGGUGAGUAACGCGUAGGUAACCUGCCUGGUAGCGGGGGAUAACUAUUGGAAACGAUAGCUAAUACCGCAUAAUAUUAAUUAUUGCAUGAUAAUUAAUUGAAAGGUGCAAUGCACCACUACCAGAUGGACCUGCGUUGUAUUAGCUAGUAGGUGAGGUAACGGCUCACCUAGGCGACGAUACAUAGCCGACCUGAGAGGGUGAUCGGCCACACUGGGACUGAGACACGGCCCAGACUCCUACGGGAGGCAGCAGUAGGGAAUCUUCGGCAAUGGACGAAAGUCUGACCGAGCAACGCCGCGUGAGUGAAGAAGGUUUUCGGAUCGUAAAGCUCUGUUGUAAGAGAAGAACGGGUGUGAGAGUGGAAAGUUCACACUGUGACGGUAUCUUACCAGAAAGGGACGGCUAACUACGUG
RNAcentral lists this ribosomal RNA (504 nucleotides) under uncultured bacterium. RNAcentral describes it as "partial 16S ribosomal RNA". It matches the Rfam family "Bacterial small subunit ribosomal RNA", at positions 28 to 507 of the family's 1533-position model. The record is from RNAcentral.